UUGAAAAACAAAAUAUUUUUUUUGUGACUUUAAUCUAGGCUUUAUUUUUUAAUUCAAAGAACUAGAAAACAUGGUGAAGAUUGCAAUCAAGAUAGCAUUUAUAAUGAUCUUUUUCGCUUUAGUAACCACCAACGGUAUUUUCUUUUUCAUCUUAUAGGUGUUUUUUUUUCCGAUAUCUAAAUAAUUAUAUUAUCUAAUACCUACUAAUUUUGCUUAUACUUUAUGAUUGUGUCUCUUAAAACAAUUCUAUUAAUUAUUUUUCUUCAAUCUCAAAAUUGAGGCUGCAAGAAAAAAGUCUAGUGUAAAAGACAAAUAAAAUUUUGAUCUUUAAUUUUAUUAUAAAGACAAAUAAAUUUUUUACUAAAUUAAAAUAUAAAUAAAUUCUUAACUUUUGUAAAUAGGAGACAUAUAAUAAGUUCUUCUAUCGAUAAUUUGUUUGAUUUUAGUAUGGAUGAACUUUUUUACAUUUCCAUCACCUAUUAUGUAUGUGACUCUCUAUUUCAUUUUAUUUUUUAAAUUUUUUUUUUGUAGGAAUUGAUCUCCCAAAAAUAGCAAGAAAAGUGGUGCCUGAGACAAAGGGUUGCCCGGGAAAUUGCGCUUAUCUACAACCAUAUUGUGAUCCACUAUUUCCUGCGUGUCUAUAUGGCCAUUGUACAUGUGCUAAGUUAAGCACAAUAGAAGAACACCACAAUGUUGUACAUGCUGAAAAACAAAACUAGUGGCUAGCUGCAUACUGUUACAAUUAAUGUAACAUUACUCCACCUACCUACC
This 771-nucleotide long non-coding RNA is filed under the name Arachis ipaensis. RNAcentral's name for it is "long non-coding RNA (AIPA_LNC002546)". The record is from RNAcentral. Lineage: Eukaryota; Viridiplantae; Streptophyta; Magnoliopsida; Fabales; Fabaceae.